GAUUAAAAGAUAGGACCUCGUCUAUAGAAAAGGGUUGGUUUUGACCUAUUGCAAUCAACUCCGGACACAGAUUAUAAUUAGGGGCAGGACGUGUUGACUCCCAUGGUCUAUGGCUGAUCUCCGAAGGUGCAAAGAAUUCAAUAAUAGGUAUGGAAUUUGAGUUAUCCAUAAAGAUAAAAAUAAAAAGAUAAAAGAAUAAAAGUAUAAAAGUAUAAUACAAGAUAAUAGCAAGACUCAAAGUUAUCUCAGCAAACCGUCUUUCUCCCCGGCAACGGCACCAGAAAUGCUUGUUGAUAUUUGGUAACGCAAUAAGGAAAUGAUCCGCAAGUGCACGG
This 335-nucleotide long non-coding RNA is filed under the name Sorghum bicolor (sorghum). RNAcentral describes it as "long non-coding RNA (SBIC_LNC003059)". Lineage: Eukaryota; Viridiplantae; Streptophyta; Magnoliopsida; Poales; Poaceae. The record is from RNAcentral.